Molecule: ribosomal RNA, 253 nt
Filed under: uncultured bacterium
Lineage: Bacteria
Description: partial 16S ribosomal RNA
Rfam family: Bacterial small subunit ribosomal RNA
Source: RNAcentral
UACGUAGGUGGCGAGCGUUGUCCGGAUUUACUGGGCGUAAAGGGAGCGCAGGCGGACUUUUAAGUGAGAUGUGAAAUACUCGGGCUCAACUUGAGUGCUGCAUUUCAAACUGGAAGUCUAGAGUGCAGGAGAGGAGAAUGGAAUUCCUAGUGUAGCGGUGAAAUGCGUAGAGAUUAGGAAGAACACCAGUGGCGAAGGCGGUUCUCUGGACUGUAACUGACGCUGAGGCUCGAAAGCGUGGGGAGCAAACAGG